GGGUUGUGAGGUUAAGCGACUAAGCGUACACGGUGGAUGCCCUGGCAGUCAGAGGCGAUGAAGGGCGUGCUAAUCUGCGAUAAGCGCCGGUAAGGUGAUAUGAACCGUUAUAACCGGCGAUACCCGAAUGGGGAAACCCAGUGUGACUCGUCACACUAUCAUUAACUGAAUCCAUAGGUUAAUGAGGCGAACCGGGGGAACUGAAACAUCUAAGUACCCCGAGGAAAAGAAAUCAACCGAGAUUCCCCCAGUAGCGGCGAGCGAACGGGGAGGAGCCCAGAGCCUGAAUCAGCAUGUGUGUUAGUGGAAGCGUCUGGAAAGGCGCGCGAUACAGGGUGACAGCCCCGUACACAAAAGCGCAUGUGCUGUGAGCUCGAUGAGUAGGGCGGGACACGUGGUAUCCUGUCUGAAUAUGGGGGGACCAUCCUCCAAGGCUAAAUACUCCUGACUGACCGAUAGUGAACCAGUACCGUGAGGGAAAGGCGAAAAGAACCCCGGCGAGGGGAGUGAAAAAGAACCUGAAACCGUGUACGUACAAGCAGUGGGAGCCCCACCACCAAAGCAUUUGCUGUACCGCGUUGACGGAGCGAAGCGACGUCAAACCGAUAAAACAGCAGUGUAAAGUGAGCCGCAGGGCGCUUUGCGCGACAGCGCAAAGGCAGGCGGUUUCGCGUAGCGAAAGCGAAUGCUUUGGGGUGGGGUGACUGCGUACCUUUUGUAUAAUGGGUCAGCGACUUAUAUUCUGUAGCAAGGUUAACCGAAUAGGGGAGCCGGAGGGAAACCGAGUCUUAAUUGGGCGUUAAGUUGCAGGGUAUAGACCCGAAACCCGGUGAUCUAGCCAUGGGCAGGUUGAAGGUUGGGUAACACUAACUGGAGGACCGAACCGACUAAUGUUGAAAAAUUAGCGGAUGACCUGUGGCUGGGGGUGAAAGGCCAAUCAAACCGGGAGAUAGCUGGUUCUCCCCGAAAGCUAUUUAGGUAGCGCCUCGUGAAUUCAUCUCCGGGGGUAGAGCACUGUUUCGGCUAGGGGGCCAUCCCGGCUUACCAACCCGAUGCAAACUGCGAAUACCGGAGAAUGUUAUCACGGGAGACACACGGCGGGUGCUAACGUCCGUCGUGAAGAGGGAAACAACCCAGACCGCCAGCUAAGGUCCCAAAGUCAUGGUUAAGUGGGAAACGAUGUGGGAAGGCCCAGACAGCCAGGAUGUUGGCUUAGAAGCAGCCAUCAUUUAAAGAAAGCGUAAUAGCUCACUGGUCGAGUCGGCCUGCGCGGAAGAUGUAACGGGGCUAAACCAUGCACCGAAGCUGCGGCAGCGACACUGUGUGUUGUUGGGUAGGGGAGCGUUCUGUAAGCCUGUGAAGGUGUGUCGUGAGGCAUGCUGGAGGUAUCAGAAGUGCGAAUGCUGACAUAAGUAACGAUAAAGCGGGUGAAAAGCCCGCUCGCCGGAAGACCAAGGGUUCCUGUCCAACGUUAAUCGGGGCAGGGUGAGUCGACCCCUAAGGCGAGGCCGAAAGGCGUAGUCGAUGGGAAACGGGUUAAUAUUCCCGUACUUGGUGUUACUGCGAAGGGGGGACGGAGAAGGCUAUGUUGGCCGGGCGACGGUUGUCCCGGUUUAAGCGUGUAGGUGUGUGUUCCAGGUAAAUCCGGUUCACUUUAACACUGAGGCGUGACGACGAGGCACUACGGUGCUGAAGCAACAAAUGCCCUGCUUCCAGGAAAAGCCUCUAAGCAUCAGGUAACAUCAAAUCGUACCCCAAACCGACACAGGUGGUCAGGUAGAGAAUACCAAGGCGCUUGAGAGAACUCGGGUGAAGGAACUAGGCAAAAUGGUGCCGUAACUUCGGGAGAAGGCACGCUGACACGUAGGUGAAGUGAUUUACUCAUGGAGCUGAAGUCAGUCGAAGAUACCAGCUGGCUGCAACUGUUUAUUAAAAACACAGCACUGUGCAAACACGAAAGUGGACGUAUACGGUGUGACGCCUGCCCGGUGCCGGAAGGUUAAUUGAUGGGGUCAGCGCAAGCGAAGCUCCUGAUCGAAGCCCCGGUAAACGGCGGCCGUAACUAUAACGGUCCUAAGGUAGCGAAAUUCCUUGUCGGGUAAGUUCCGACCUGCACGAAUGGCGUAAUGAUGGCCAGGCUGUCUCCACCCGAGACUCAGUGAAAUUGAACUCGCUGUGAAGAUGCAGUGUACCCGCGGCAAGACGGAAAGACCCCGUGAACCUUUACUAUAGCUUGACACUGAACAUUGAGCCUUGAUGUGUAGGAUAGGUGGGAGGCUUUGAAGUGUGGACGCCAGUCUGCAUGGAGCCGACCUUGAAAUACCACCCUUUAAUGUUUGAUGUUCUAACGUGGACCCGUUACCCGGGUUGCGGACAGUGUCUGGUGGGUAGUUUGACUGGGGCGGUCUCCUCCUAAAGAGUAACGGAGGAGCACGAAGGUUGGCUAAUCCUGGUCGGACAUCAGGAGGUUAGUGCAAUGGCAUAAGCCAGCUUGACUGCGAGCGUGACGGCGCGAGCAGGUGCGAAAGCAGGUCAUAGUGAUCCGGUGGUUCUGAAUGGAAGGGCCAUCGCUCAACGGAUAAAAGGUACUCCGGGGAUAACAGGCUGAUACCGCCCAAGAGUUCAUAUCGACGGCGGUGUUUGGCACCUCGAUGUCGGCUCAUCACAUCCUGGGGCUGAAGUAGGUCCCAAGGGUAUGGCUGUUCGCCAUUUAAAGUGGUACGCGAGCUGGGUUUAGAACGUCGUGAGACAGUUCGGUCCCUAUCUGCCGUGGGCGCUGGAGAACUGAGGGGGGCUGCUCCUAGUACGAGAGGACCGGAGUGGACGCAUCACUGGUGUUCGGGUUGUCAUGCCAAUGGCACUGCCCGGUAGCUAAAUGCGGAAGAGAUAAGUGCUGAAAGCAUCUAAGCACGAAACUUGCCCCGAGAUGAGUUCUCCCUGAGACUUUAGGUCUCCUGAAGGAACGUUGAAGACGACGACGUUGAUAGGCCGGGUGUGUAAGCGCAGCGAUGCGUUGAGCUAACCGGUACUAAUGAACCGUGAGGCUUAACCUUACAACGCCGAAG
RNAcentral lists this ribosomal RNA (3065 nucleotides) under Salmonella enterica. RNAcentral describes it as "23S ribosomal RNA". It matches the Rfam family "Bacterial large subunit ribosomal RNA". The record is from RNAcentral. RNAcentral also lists the same sequence under 2 other names. Lineage: Bacteria; Pseudomonadati; Pseudomonadota; Gammaproteobacteria; Enterobacterales; Enterobacteriaceae.